UCCACGCACUUAAGCAGAGUUACUACUGCUUGCUGUGGGUAAGACGAUUUUCACAUUCCUUCUGCCUCCACCUAACAUUUCUGAUAAGAGCAACAAGAAUGUAAGAAUGUGUGUUUAAUGCAGUUCCGAGUUCAGUUCCUCCUUUCGUGGGGCAAAUCUGCUCUGCCCGGGACCCAGAUGGAGAGAGACCCCGGCGGAACCCACGCAACCAUCCUGUGACCGAGACCGGCGCGCGGAUGCUGCGGGCACAGGGGCAGAAGGGAGAGAAAGGGUCGUCCCGACGCCGGCCAGCAGCCGGAGGAGUUAAAGUAACAAAGAGCUAAUCGCGCCCCAAAGCCCACCCAGAGCGGAAGCAACGCCGCCCCGCCGCCCCCGCCCGGAUACCCUCCCCAAGUUCAGGGCCGGCAAACGACUCGCACGCGGGGCCUGCAGCCAGGCCAGAGCCGGGUUCCCGGUCGGGAUGCGGGAAACAGCAGGUCCCUUUAUGCUUACCUCUUAAGAGUGUUCUGUUUUAAAGACCAGAAACGCUUGAAGACGAACUGUGCUCUUUUUCACCUUUGCAAAAUCCAGUUCCUGUGCAGAUCCCUGGCACAAGUUAGGUACUCAACAAUGCUGAAGGAUCCGUCCUUGGGAAGUAAAGGUCCAGUAUCUUAUUAGGAAAGAAACUAGCAAAUCUAACCCAACCUAACUACCCUCUGUGACUUAACCCUUGGAGGAUUGCCUAGGAUGUAGAUUCCUUAAGUGUUUCCAGGGAUCAAGAUGCCUUAAGUGUGUCCUUCGUCUUUAUCCCUCCGAG
This is a long non-coding RNA of Lontra canadensis (Northern American river otter), 796 nucleotides long. RefSeq lists it as uncharacterized. The record is from RefSeq and is a predicted model, not a curated record. The transcript has 3 exons. NCBI's taxonomy places the organism in Eukaryota, Metazoa, Chordata, Mammalia, Carnivora, Mustelidae.